Molecule: unclassified non-coding RNA, 383 nt
Filed under: uncultured Actinomycetes bacterium
Lineage: Bacteria; Bacillati; Actinomycetota; Actinomycetes
Description: uncultured actinobacterium contains 16S-23S intergenic spacer region
Source: RNAcentral
UCCGAGUUGACCCCGGCAGUCUCCUGUGAGUCCCCAUCACCCCGAAAGGCAUGCUGGCAACACAGAACAAGGGUUGCGCUCGUUGCGGGACUUAACCCAACAUCUCACGACACGAGCUGACGACAGCCAUGCACCACCUGUGCUAGCCCCUUACGGACACGGGCUUUCACCCGCUUUAACUAGCAUGUCAAGCCUAGGUAAGGUUCUUCGCGUUACAUCGAAUUAAACCACAUGCUCCACCGCUUGUGCGGGUCCCCGUCAAUUCCUUUGAGUUUUAGCCCUGCGGCCGUACUCCCCAGGCGGGGCACUUAAUGCGUUAGCUCCGGCACGGGAGGAGUCGACACCUCCCACACCUAGUGCCCAUCGUUUACGGCGUGGACUAC